GUGUUUCUUUUUCAAUUGUGUUCUCCUAUUUAUUUAUAUUGUAGUCUUGUAAUGUUGUGUUGUCAUUUUAAUGUUAUAUUUCACAUGGCCAUAAAAGAGGGAGGUUUGGCAUGCCACAAAACCAGGUUCAACCUACCAUUUUUUUCCUUUAAAAAUGUCCUGUACCAAGUCAGGAAUAUGGCCAUUGUUAUAUUAUAGUUCGUU
RNAcentral lists this long non-coding RNA (204 nucleotides) under Mytilus galloprovincialis (Mediterranean mussel). Lineage: Eukaryota; Metazoa; Mollusca; Bivalvia; Mytilida; Mytilidae. The record is from RNAcentral.